Molecule: non-coding RNA, 1890 nt
Organism: Leptonychotes weddellii (Weddell seal)
Lineage: Eukaryota; Metazoa; Chordata; Mammalia; Carnivora; Phocidae
Source: RefSeq, a predicted model, not a curated record
CGGAGGUUUGCGGGAAGGUUUCGGGAUGGGCGCUUUGCUGUGCAUUUCCCUCCUGCUCCGAGCCUUUCUCGUUAGCCGUGAGCCGGUGAGGGAACGAGCAGGCCGUGCACUGACCGUUCAUCCGAAGGGGUGUGUCCCCCUCUCUCCCCAGGUUCCGAGGAAACCGAGCCCAGCCUCGUGCCCAUCUAUGCACUUGUGGUCCUGGGGACCCUCAUCACUACCCUGAUCCUCGGCUGCCUUUUGAAAAGGUUCCUCGCGUCAGAGAGCCUCUUCCCACCGAUUCCGCACAUCAAAGACAAAUGGAACGAUACCCAUCAGCCUGACCACCAGGUCACCUGGGAGAACUUCACCUUGGACACGGAAAAAGGUGACAACGAAGAGAUCCUCACUGUGGAAGAAGUCACAGUGGUCCUGGCAAGCAAGUGAACUGCAUGGACUCUUCCAGCCCCGGAACAAUCUGGAAGCUUUUUUUUUUUUUUUAAUUAUUAUUAUUGUUGUUUUGAGCCAUUAUUUAUAUAGUGUUCUAUUUUUUUACUUUAAAAGAAUGUGAUAUUUUGCAAAGAUGCUUGUAGUCGGGGGGAUUGUUGAAUGCCCUUGGAUCCUGAACCCGUGAUGCACCUGCUUCUCCCCCAGGGAAACAAAGAAUUCUCCCUUGCAUGAUGGCGGCUCAGGCGCUCGCCUGCCAGGAGCCAGUGGGGCUGGGACGUGGGUCUCUGGCGUGUCUGCUGUUGCCGUGGGAACAUUGCCUUCCCCCUGUUUCUCCACCAGCUGCAGCUCAGCCCCAUAUGGGGGCCGUCUGGGGGUCUUGAAUAGUUGUCUCUGUUGCAAAGUCCCAUUUGCCACCUAAUGUGACAUGUUCUCAGGCUCCAGGAAUCGGGGUGUGGACAUCUUUGGGGACAUUGUUCCAUCCACCACGUGGGGAUCAGGACGUGGACACCUUUGGGGAGAUUAUUCUGUGCACCACUCAGGAAUCGGGUUGCAUCUACCACACGGGGAUCAGGAUGUAGACGUCUCUGGGGACAUUAUUCUGUGCACCACAUGCAGACGUGUUUGAGGAUGUUGCUCCAUCCACCACACGUGGAUCGGGAUGUGGACAUCUUCGUCUGCAGGCAUGGGCAGGGAUCAGAGGGGUCUUCUCGCAAGGAUCCUGAAACCAACUCUGCACCUUGACCUUUGAGACACGGCCACCCCCGUGAAGAUCGUCCGAUGGCCUGACAGGAGCUGUGACCUCUCCUGGGUGUUCAGCGUGGGCUCCCCGAGUGUGUACUAGGUGGUUCCAGCUUGCCCCUGCCUCGCAGGUUCCGACCAGCCCUUCCCAUGAGUCCUGUCCACCUGUCCGUCCAUAAGAUCAUGCACAUGAUGCAGGAAACCUGUUUCCCUUCCUCCAUGUCUAUGAAACACCAUCACGCCUUCACACGUGGGGGCGUCCCUUCAGGCCAAGAAUUGUCCGUGGAAAGUACAUGCUGCCCAGAGUCCUGAGGGACCAACCUGGCCUCCAGGAUGACAGAUGCCAGCCCAACGGAGGCCGACAGCAGAGGACAGGACCUCCAUGUGGCAGGACUACGGCUGGCCGCCCAAGGAGCCCAUGCAGGAGUGUGAGGGGUAGAAGCAUGGAUGGCAGCAUUAAGGCACUUUGAAAUUUUGCCCUGGAGCGGCCCAGAUGGGACCAGAAGAUUCUAUGCACAGAAAACAAAAAACCGGGUUUCUGUGAACAGAACUAUCCACCGGCAAACAAUGGAUUCGGGAAAAUCUAAAUCACAGUGUGAAGUAGACACAUUUUAUAUUUAGCCUUUCCACUUUCUAGUUCCUGCUUUCCUUCCCCGUUCUGCCUCCCAUGACGCCCUCCCCUCUAACCCUUAACGUCUGUGAAAGAGUGACUUCCUGCAUUUA